GCCGGGUGUGGUGGCGCAUGCCUGUAAUCCCAGCUACUCGGGAGGCUGAGGCAAGAGAAUUGCUUGAACCCAGGAAGUGGAGGUUGCAGUGAGCUGAAAUCGUGCCACUGCACUCCAGCCUGGAUGACAGAGCAAGACUCUGUCUCAA
This 148-nucleotide non-coding RNA is filed under the name Gorilla gorilla gorilla (western lowland gorilla). Lineage: Eukaryota; Metazoa; Chordata; Mammalia; Primates; Hominidae. The record is from Rfam by way of RNAcentral.